Molecule: long non-coding RNA, 348 nt
Organism: Sphaerodactylus townsendi
Lineage: Eukaryota; Metazoa; Chordata; Lepidosauria; Squamata; Sphaerodactylidae
Exons: 3
Source: RefSeq, a predicted model, not a curated record
AGCACAAAAGGGGUAGGUGGAAUAUUUAGGGAAAACCAAGCACAAAAGGGGUAGGUGGAAUAUUUAGAGAAAAUUAAUAAUAGUACAAGUAUAAACAAAGGGUAAGUUAGAAUAAGAACAUAAGAGCGAAAUAAAGGGAAUUAUACUAGGGGUAAAGGACUAGGGAAAUAAGGAAGGGGAUUAGUGAUAAGAGAUAAGAGAUUAAAUGUUAUAGAAAAUAGGCUAUAGAAUUGGUAAGGGUGGAGAGAAGGUAUAGAUGAUAAGGGGGAUAGGGUAUAUUUUAAGAGGGGGUAAUUUUGAAUGUCCACGGUGAUUCAUUGUCGAAUUAAAAUAAAUGUUUGACGGAGG